CAUCUCAUACCAUUGGAAUGAAAGGAUGAAGCAAUGGGCUUGUGCCUUGUCACCAAGGUGCAAAGACAAGGCCACCAGUCUCAACAGGACCCCCAGCCCAGCCCCAAUGGACCCUCACCUCCUCUGAAGCAGACAAAAUGAUGACAAAGGUCUGAGCGAGGUCUGCAGGACCUGGUAUUUGGUAACCUGAAUCUAUUAUGGUCCACACCGUCCUGCAGUUCAGAAAUAAGACUGUCUUGCUUUCCUCACUGGAAUUAAACCUUGCAUUUCUCUUUUUUUUUAAAUUUUUUUGAGGUGGAACCAUGAAAUGAAGAGAGGCAAACCAUGGCUGCAUCUACAUCGUGCUUGUUAAAUUAAUCUUACCAAAUAAAAAGAUCAACAGGCCAUUCCCCA
RNAcentral lists this long non-coding RNA (393 nucleotides) under Coturnix japonica (Japanese quail). RNAcentral describes it as "lncRNA (ENSCJPG00005007918.1)". Lineage: Eukaryota; Metazoa; Chordata; Aves; Galliformes; Phasianidae. The record is from RNAcentral.